This 250-nucleotide ribosomal RNA is filed under the name uncultured bacterium. Its description in RNAcentral is "partial 16S ribosomal RNA". It matches the Rfam family "Bacterial small subunit ribosomal RNA", at positions 355 to 620 of the family's 1533-position model. The record is from RNAcentral.
GGAGGAAUCUUCCACAAUGGACGAAAGUCUGAUGGAGCAACUCCGCGUGCAGGAUGAAGGCCUUCGGGUUGUAAACUGCUUUUAUGAGUGAAGAAUAUGACGGUAACUCAUGAAUAAGGGUCGGCUAACUACGUGCCAGCAGCCGCGGUCAUACGUAGGACCCAAGCGUUAUCCGGAGUGACUGGGCGUAAAGAGUUGCGUAGGUGGUUUGUUAAGUGAAUAGUGAAAUCUGGCGGCUCAACCGUACAGA